RNAcentral lists this small nucleolar RNA (107 nucleotides) under Gossypium hirsutum (cotton). RNAcentral's name for it is "Plant small nucleolar RNA R71". It matches the Rfam family "Plant small nucleolar RNA R71". Rfam says of the family: R71 is a member of the C/D box family of snoRNAs containing the C (UGAUGA) and D (CUGA) box motifs. The record is from Rfam by way of RNAcentral. Lineage: Eukaryota; Viridiplantae; Streptophyta; Magnoliopsida; Malvales; Malvaceae.
AUCCCAUGAUGAGGACACUUACGAAGUAACUCCUUGAAUCGCUCCCAAGCCUAAUAAAAAGACUCGUCAUCCAAUUGUUGGAAAGCUGAGAUCUCGUUCCUCAACUU